UCUGAAUUUGUUCAAUCGAUUCAGAGUACGUUUACCCAGAGUUAGGCAUGUGCAUGAACCACAAUAACAAGCCAUCAUCAAUGGAGCCCCGAUACCUGGAUUCACCACAACAAUAACCAUGCCAGUUAUUUCACUCCACUCGAACAAGAGGUUCUAAUCAAAGCGUAUGGGGAAUACGAAGUGGUAUUCAGUAGAAAAUGCAGCACUGUUGUUGCUAAGGAGAGAGAAGCAUCAUGUGAGAAAACUGAAGCCUGAGUCAAUGUGUAAGUUAGACUACACUAGUCCAUUGACUUAAUAGCCUAUUUAACUUAAUUAAAAGUGAAGCAUGUAGGUUAAAACAUUAUUGGAUUAAAUAAAAGUGGUG
This is a long non-coding RNA of Sphaeramia orbicularis (orbiculate cardinalfish), 364 nucleotides long. RefSeq lists it as uncharacterized. The record is from RefSeq and is a predicted model, not a curated record. Lineage: Eukaryota; Metazoa; Chordata; Actinopteri; Kurtiformes; Apogonidae. The transcript is spliced from 2 exons.